Molecule: long non-coding RNA, 14233 nt
Filed under: Spirodela polyrhiza (greater duckweed)
Lineage: Eukaryota; Viridiplantae; Streptophyta; Magnoliopsida; Alismatales; Araceae
Description: long non-coding RNA (SPOL_LNC002164)
Source: RNAcentral
CGGCGGCGACCAUGGCGAAGACUGAGAGCACCAUGCCGACGCCAAUCCUCUGGAGCAUCGUCAAGCCCGAGGGCCGCCCGGUGAAGGCUCUGAUUAUGGGGACGAAGACGCGGUCGUAGAUGGGCACGAAGGCGAGGACGGAGAGGUUGAUGAAACUCUGGAGCGCCGCAGGGGGGACGAGGAAGGAGCGGGUGAUUCUUUUGUCCAUGGUGCUGCCCUGCUUGGUGAAUAAGGUCGAGCACUGCGCAAACACCACGGCGUACAGCAAGCAGGUUGCCCAGAUUGGAAGCAAUCUGACGACCCCUCGACGGCUCUCUGCGACACCAUCCUCCUCCCCGGCAGACCUUCAGAGUGGGAGCCCAUGAGGAAAGACGCCAUCUUCUUUAUACUGAAAUAGGCUUUUCCAGGGUCUGGAGGAUCCUUACCCGCCAUGGAGGAGAGCUUCCUUCGCUUCUUCCGGGAACGGCGCCCGCCGGCUGCUCGAGAAACUGCCGUCGGCUCCGGCGAGCUGCGCGAGUGGGUUCUUGCGGCGGGGAGCGCAGUAGCGGUAGGUCCUGGUGCCGCUCAAGAAGAUGGCGAAGGAGAUCGCCAUGGAAGCACACGGCAGCCCAAAUCCGAGACCCCAGCCGAUGUUGUCCUGGACGUAGGACAUCACCAGUACUGUGAACGCUGUGCCGCCGCAGACCCCGAAGUACAGCCAGUUGAAGAAGGAGCUCCUGGACCUGCACUCUUCUGGGUCGUCGCCGUCGAACUGAUCGGCCCCGAAGGCCUGCGCNNNNNNNNNNNNNNNNNNNNACAGGGCUUGCGGAUGCCCAGCGCGACAGCCACCAGGUACAACGCGGAGAAGAAGAACGCCGUCUGGAAUUGAGAGGGGAGGCAGCUCUCCCGGCUGCCGCCGGCGCACUCCGGCGGGCGGACCGACGGCGCCACCGCUGAAGCCACCAGCAUUGCCAGACCCUGCAAGGACGUAGAUCAUACAGCAGAAGCGUACGCCCGAUCUACGGUGAGUGAAUUCUUCCUCGCGUAAAGCCAGUAACCCUCCUUCUGAGGGUACAAUUAGACGAAUUUCUGAUGAACAUGGCGAGGAUUUCCCAAGGGUUUGAUCACAAGAUGAUUGCUGGUUGAAGAUUCCGGGUUGAAAGCAGGAACGAACCAGGAUGUAAAGAAAGGAGGAUACGACGGCGGUGCGGUAGCGCCCGAGGGAGGAGUCGCCGAUGAGUCCGCCGAGGAUGGGGAGCACCAGGCACAACCCGCCCCACGCGUUCACGUUGGCGGCGGCGGAGGCGGUGGACUCCUGGAAGGCCCCCGUCAGGUAACUGAUGAGGUUGAUGCCGAUGCCGUAGUGGGCGAAAUGCUCCAACACGUCGGCCCCUUCAGUGCAACGGCGGAAGCGGAGCUUUGGCCACUGGUGGUUGCCGUGUCUCACCCAGAAGCGGAGGAAGAGAACGAUGGCGGGAGGCGCUUACCGAUGAUGAAGGGGGCGGAGCGCCAGCCGCCGGCGGCGGCCCGGGAGAAGAUCGGCUGCCCGCGGUGGUCGACGACGCCCUCAAUCGGUAACGGAGCGUCCUCCUCCCGUGUUCCCAUGCUGAGUCCUCCGGCGUGCGGUCUGUCCGCUGUGUCACGAUCAGGUCCCCUCGGGCCAUCAAAUACAUUUCCUCCUGGUUUCUGCGAGAUUCGAGGAGGGACCAGCACGAGGGUAAAUUAGCUGCUUCUCUCAUUCAUGUGAAGGGAAAAAAUAUUUAUGGUCAAAAACUAUUUUUCCCACCACGGGUUCACCACUUCCCGGUUUGUGGCCGUCAUCAGAUUUUUUUUAAUUUUCUAUUUUUGUUAUACAAUCGCUUUUUGCGGCGGCGUUUGGUUGGUGGAUGCGAACGGUGGAGCGGAUCUGGAGCUGCGAGCAGCUGGUUGGAUGAUUGGAGAGGACGACGGGGAGGAGCAAAUCGGGCGACAUAAUAGAGCUGUCGACGUGGUAGGGGGAGUACUAGGCGAAGUGGAGUGGUGAUGGGGCCCAGGCUGGGGUGCUACAGUUGGAUGAUAGGCUGGGGGGGCAUCAGCUCACCUAAUCUUUUAAAGAACACUACCUUUUGUGGAUAUUUACUUUAAUAUAUAUAUAAUUUAGUCAAUUUUUGGCUUCUUAAGACUAUGUUAAUGGAUAGCUUAAAUGGCUACUUUAUGGCACUAUACUAGGUAAUUCUAUUAUUUUCUUUAUUUUUUCCAUCAGAUGUAUGUACAACAUUGCUGCUCACCACUCUUUUGAGGUGAGGGAACUACGUUGGACUAACUAACCUAGACAUAUAUUUUUAUAUUCUGUCUUUCUUUUAUUUUAUUUCUAUUUUUCUAUUAUAAUAUAAUAGUGACAUUGUUGGAGUGAGAAAUUACAAGAAUAUUAUAGUGUAAUACUAUACAUAUGUCCCCUUACAUUUCCUCACUUGUGUGUGAAUAAGAUCUGAUUUGGCAUAAGUGAAACCAAAUAACCAAAUUUAAUAUACUAAAACUAGAUCAAUAUAAAUAAAAGUAAACAAGUAAUCAUUUUAACUAAACAUUUUAAUUUUAUCUUUUACCCUUCUCUCUCUUCUCACAAGCCAACUUUCUCACCACAAUCUUUGUAUUCUUUGGCGACUAGUGAACAGAUCCUCAUAAUUGGCCUUGAUAGUCAUCAUUAAAAGAUGCUAUUAGUGAUAAUAAAUUACAUACAUACUUACAUUUUAUUCUUCAAAAUAUAUUUGCUCAUAUCAAGACUAAUUAUUUAUUGACAUAUGUAGUCAUUGUUGUUGAGCUAAUAUAAUAAGAAUAUUCCAUCAGACAUUAUAAAUUUAAAAUAGCUAUUGUGAAAAAACCAAUAACUAGGGAUAUCAUUCUCAUAAAAUGAAAAAAUAAUCAAUAAAAAACUUGAUAAUUCAACUAAAAUUUGAGGAAGUAAGACCACUUAACUAUAAAAAUAUGUCAUCAUAGCUUGUUUGGUUUUAACUUUCUUGAAGUAGAAUUUUUUUCAAAUCCAUUACACUGAGUUUUCACCUAAAACUUUAUAAAGUUGAGUUUGUUACUAAAAUUAAUAAUUUCCAUGAUAUCAUCACAUUAGCAUGCCUCCAUUAAGGCAGUUAUAGAUAAAGGGAUUGAAAGCAUCAACUAUUCUAUAGGGAUCAUGAGGUGGAGAGGGGAAUUUCUCCAUUGAAAGAAUUAAAUCAUGUGAUAUAAUCUAAGAAAGAAGUAUCUAUGAAGUAACUAGAUAUCACAAUAUACAUUAAUAUUGAAUAAUGUCAACAAAGUGUAGAAAGAAUCGAGCAACAUGCAUCAUGCCAGUCAUGUGGAUAUAAGAAAACCUCAUCCACAAUGGGGAGAAUUAGAGUGUUAUUUUGAGUCAUGUCUCUCCAAGUUUAGAAGUGGACAUUAGUCACUAUCCUCUAUUCUCCCAUAUAUUAUCUCUCCCUCAUGUAUUCGUCUAUUUUAUGAGUUCAGCUUCUAUUAUAAUUGUUUGAUUAAUUUUUUUUGUUGCUAAGAAAAUGGAAUAAAUUUAAAAUUUAUAAAUUCAAUAAAAUAAGCUAACUUUAGAAAAAAAUAAUUUUAUUGUAGAUUUUUUUGGUUGAUCACAAGGAAGAUAAAAAUUAAUUAUUUAUUUAUGAUUUUUAGUUGAUAUAAUAAUGUAUUAAAUUAUUUUCUGAAAAAAUUAAAUAAAAUAAGUUAAAAAUAUAUAUUGAUGACCAUCAUUAUCAUUACCCUAAAAUAGACAUUAUCUGUUGAGGUCAAGAUUCAACAUAUUUAUAGAUUAUAUGAGAAAUAAAUUUAUUUUAGAGAAAUAAAUAGUCAUAUCUAAUAUCAUAAGUGUUGGGUUUUAGGCUAACGAAAGGAUGCAAUUAGGGGGUUUGAAUUGGUUACACUACUUUUUUUUCUUUGAAGAAUUUCUCAUUAAGAUAUUAUUCAAUUUUUUUAAUGAGUUGAUCCUUAUAAGUUGUGGAUAUAAAUUCAUUAUGUUAUAGUAGUUCAGUACCAAUCUAUGUGUACUUUUCAAGAACACUUCAUGUUCUUAUAUUUUACUAGUAUGAUCGUUUGAUCAUACUUGCUAAUUUUAAAGAUUCAACUCUCACAAAAUUUCACUUAGAAAUUCUCUUUUAGAUUCGCGACUUUAAGAGGCCCAACAAUUGUUUAACAUGAUAGUUUCUACCAAUAAUUAAUAAAAUAUAUAAUCACAAUUUAACCCACAAUAAAUGUAGACAAUAUCACCACGGGUUGAUUUUAAAAUAUGAAUGUUACAUACUUUGGAUUUUCAACGUAGAUGAUGUAAAUGUUGACUCUUUUUAGUUACCAAUUUGGUGGCACUAUAGUGAUGACUAGCUUGAGGAGUAAAACUUUAAUGCACACAGUUACUCAUCAAAUAAAUGUCUUUACUCUCAAUUAUCAGCCAAUUGUUCUUCUUCUUCUUUCUCUUGAAUGCAUUACAUAGAAAACACAUGAACAAGGGUACAAGUAUUUGGAAGAAUAAAUAUAAUCAUUAUGGAUUAAUUAUUUUCAUUAGAGAUCAAUAAUUUUUAUCAUUAAAUUAUGUACAAACUUAACCCAAAUUUUUCAUGAUCUUCUAAUGUCUAUAUUCACUUAAAAUACAAUUUAAUUCAAAAUUAUCGUAAAUCAAAUUAGAGAUGUCUUCUUUGUAUUUUGAAUAUUCUCUAUAAAAAUUAAUACAUGAAUCUUUUAGAAUAUAAUGCUUGUAUCCAUAACAAGUUAGUUUACUUGAAUCUGAUAAGAAUUUGAUAACAACUAUCGUGAAACUAGUAAUACAUGUUUUAAAAUAAUAAUGAUUUCUCAUUAAAUUUAAUCCAAAUUCUCUAAAAAAAAAUGUGAUAUAAGUUUACUUCGUAAAUCAUAAUCUCAAUGUUUCAAAUCAUAGUUGCAUUGAUCAAAGUACUAUGUAAAUUUUUUACAUAUAUUUAAUGAUAUUUAGAAAAUAAUAUUUGAUGAAAAUGAUAUUCAAUAGAACAUUCAAUUGAUUCAAUGUUAAAUCUAUUCGAACAUGAUGAAGUAAAAAUAUGAAUUCAUAUAUGGUUGAGUAAGCUUUCAUACCCAUAUUUUACUUCAUUGAUUCUUGUUGAUUCAAAUGUUCUAAUAAUUUAUAUUCUAUCUAUGACAAUUUUUUUAAAUCACGAUGACUUGCAUAAAAAUAUAUAUGAUGAUGAUUUUGUAUGUUGUUACGAUUAAACUAUGUUAAUUCACAUCAUGAGUCUUUCAUAUAUUCAAAUAACUCUCAUUUUUAUAUCUAAGGUUCAUGAAUUAAGUAUUUCAUACACUCAUUUAGAUUUAUUGUUGAUUCAUAAAUCAUUCUUAAUUUAUCUCUAAUUAUUUUUUCAUCAUUAAAAUAUAUUUCUAUUGUUCUAAAAAUAAGUAGUUCUAAAAAACUCUCACUUUUGACUUUGAUGUAAUAUACAAGAUGAAAACUAAAAACAAGACUAUCAACACCUUGUUAAGAGCUUUGAAUUGUGCGUGGUGUUACAAACAUAAGAAUUUUUGGUUUCCCAUGUUCCUUGAAAAAAUAUACUUUUAUUCCAUUUAAUAAACAACUAGUACAAUUGAAGUGGCUAUGCAUACAAAUCCAUUUAAGAAUAUAUAUGCUCCAAUUGGAAUUAAAAGUUCUAGAAUUGACAGAUAGUAGGCAGAGUAAUUAGGGGCACAAGGGUCUUGGUACUAUCCUAGCACGAAGAACCACGGAGGUGACUACAAUUAGUAGAAAUGUAACUCACUGGCCUAAACAACAAGCAAACACUUAAACGUGCAAGCUAGGGAUCACCUAACAAAUGAAAACAAGGAGGGAGUACAAGCUAUGAAAUUAUCAUGACUAGAAUUGAUCAAUUUGACUCAAAUCUCAUAGGAAAAUUGAGAGGAUCCUCAACUAGCAACCAAAAUUGGCUAUCUUAUCCAUAGAGGGAUAAUUGGCCUCAAUAUUAGCUCCAAAAAAGCCAAUUAUUCUACUAUGGGCAUUUAAUGACCUAUAAAAACCCUUCAUUGAUUCCACACCUUAUGCAAGACUUUUACAAGUCAACAACUUGCUAGUACUCAAGACUCAUAUAGACUUAUCUUCAAAUCCAUCAAAAUAUUUGGUAAAUGUGUGUGAUGUCUACAUCAAGAGAUAUGCAGCUACUUGUCCUACCUAUUAGAAGAGCAAGUCCAAGUCUCUCUCUUUUAUUGGUCUUUAUCACCCCCUUCCAAUUUUAGAGAAAAUCUGGGCUAACCUCACAAUAAAUUUUUUCAAAGAAUUACCUAACUCAUGAGGGUUCAAUAAAAUAUUGUUCAUGGUAUAUUAGAUAAACAAAUAUGUUCACUUUUCUCCUCUCCAACAUUCAUUCACCAUCAAAAGAUAUACCUUUAAUUUGUAUCUAAGAUAUCGUCCAACUUUAUAUUUUUCAAAAUAAUUUUUUUGAAUAUUUUUUAAAAGAAACUCUUAAAUUAUAAGAGAUAACUCUAUGUUAAAUCAGUUCAUACAACCUAAAAUUCAAUGGUUACUCCAAAGUGGUCCACUACGUGCUAGAGACCUAUCUUUGUAGCUUUUACCGAUGAUUAUAUACACCAAUAAAGCAACUCACUAGUGUGGGCCGAAUUCUAAUUUAAUAAUAAUGUUGAUUACUUCACAAGGUCUCUCAUGAUCAAAAUCAUCUUUGGGUAUAAUCUACCUUCUCUUUUCUGGUACAAGCCUUACUCAACUGAAGUAGCCAAACUUUACCAACUCAAACAACACCUAGCUAAGGCUCACGCUCACGUGAAGGUGCACAUUGAUCGGAAGAGACAAUGCCUCAAGUUUGAGGAGGGGGCCUCAAAUUACCUUUAAAUAUGUCCAUAUUGAUAGAGAUUCCUUGCGAGGAGACCCUAUUAGAUACUAGGAUAGUGCUACUUUGGCCCAUUCAACGUUCUCAAGCAUAUUGGGCUAGUGGCUUAUUGAUUAGAUAUCCAACCCACAUCUAAUAUCUAUCUAAUAUUUCACAUAUCUUAGAUUAAGAAAUCAAAUGCAUCCACCCUCCUAUGCCCAUUACCUCACUAAGGUUAAAUGGUGGCCUUACUUGGAACAUGUAAUUGUUUGAAAUUUUAGUGAUCUGUCAUAAUCGUUAAAGUUAUAAGUUCUCAUCAAAUAAUUGUAGUUGCCUACUUUGGAGGCCACUUAAGAAUUAGUUUGUAGCAUCAGUUAAUAAUGUUUUGAAAUUUCACCUCUGGACAAAGUGAGUCUCAUAUAGAAGUGUAUUGUUGAGGCACGCAUCUCAACCCCUCACCCAUGUGAGAAGAGACCUUAGCUAACAUGUGGAAAAGAUCCCAUUAGUCGGGAGGGGACAAAUUGGGCUAAUAACAUGUUCACAUGGUGCUCUGCUAGCGUCCAGACGGUGGCUCCCGCCUCUGCCCUGCCGCCGUCCAGGUGGCUUUGCACGCCUGUUGCGGCACUCCACCCCUCAAUGCCAGCGCUGGCAGUGGUGGACCGCGUCACCGGGUGACCCUGGUGCCGCGAAUGGCGCACGGCCCAUCACAGCCACUACCGCCAUUGCGCAUCACACCUCGUUCUUUAUUAUUACGGUGACGCAGUCCACCACAUUCUUUAUUAUGUUGACAGUCCAAUGCACGAUAAAGAACUUAGAAAACCAAAGGUCUUGUUCCCAUCAAAUAGAACCGAGAGAAGAGAAACGAAAGAGAGAGAACAGAGUCUUAAUGACGUCAUCACCCUUCUCUUGAAACAUGGAUUCUCUCUAAAUAGAGGGUGUGCGUCGUUUCCCACUAGAGUAGUUAUUGGGUAUUAUAAGGGUAGUUAGAAGGGAUAAUUAUUAUGUUAAUGGGCCAUAUAAUAACCAACACUAAAAAGAUGCGUAUUUCCCACUCUUUUAUGACAAUAAACCAUGGGGGGAAGCUGUACUAAGCUGUUGCAAUCUAGGCCCGGAUGUAAUCACUGAAUCGGAAGAUCCCCAGCGAGUACUCAUAUUUUGCUAGAGUUCCAAUGUACUUUUACAGCUCCUAGUAUGAAUCGGCAAUGAAGAAGUCUUUGAUCCAAUGGUUAUUGGGAUUUAGACUGCUUAAAAAUGUCCAGGGUGGUCCAAAGACCCUUCAGCUCUGACCAGGCACUCCAAUUCCAAGGAUAGCCGUGGACAGAUUCCACUAGAACAGAACAGGCGAGGCUCUAACACCCUUUAUCUCUCAGAACAAUUCUAUAAAAGUACAGACAGAAGGGAUCCAUGGUGCCACAUCUUCUAAACGCGGAAAGUUCUCUCUCUAAAUGAGCUAGUUCGCCAUUGAAUACCUCACUCCGCCCUAAGGGUCCCUCAAGUUCAAUCAGCCCUUCCUUUUUUUGUUUCUCUCCAGCCUAGAAAAUAACAGAAAUCUAAGCAUGAAUCCUAAUGCAUAAAUUCGUAAAAUGUCAGAAAAUUAUGUAGAGUACGGUCAGCAUAAGCGCAUAAUCGAUCAUGCAUGAAAGCAGGGAAAAGACCCAAAUGGUAAUAGUUCAGAAACGUAAAAUUCUGUCUCAAUGAUCCUCACCGUAUGAUUUCAAAUACAUAGAAUGAGUUUUAGAUAAUCAAUUAGCUUGGCUCAGGGUCUGGCGGAUCUUCUACAGCUACCUUAUACCGAAUUCAUAAUCUAUUAUCUCACUUGAAGCCUCUGACAACAGACAUUUUGGAGGCGCAUGGAAUAAAGGAUUUAAAAGGUAAAGUACAAACACACAUCAUCUUCGAGCUUCUCUACAAUUCCAGGUCUUUAUUUUGCAGGGAUCAAUCUUAUUCGAACAUAAUCUAUUUCGAGGGCACAUUAUCAGAGCUCAGUAGGUAUAGAUUGGCAUCUUGUAUGACCCCUGAGUUUCCGAUUGUCCAUUUCAAUAAAUUAAUCCUCUAUGGCGUAUGACGGAAUACCAAUCUGGUUAUGCAUUAACAGCAAGUAGACACAAAUACCGAUUUAUCAAAGAGAUGAAAAUAUCUCAAUCACUAAAUUAGUAGAAAUAGUCGAGGGUAUGAUGCACAGAGCUCUUCUAAAGCAACAUAAUACAGACUAGUAGUUACUGAUUAAUCAAGAUACGGAGAAAAAUUACAUUAAAGCCGGAAAUAUUUAUCUCCAAAUGAAUUUCAUCGCGAAAAAAAGGAAUUUUCAUUUUCUGCUUUUUCAACCUCAGACUGAUGCAACUCCAGCCAUAUUCUAAUGGGAACGCAGUCAUGGCCCAAGGCGUUCUGUUUCCUCGUGAUCAGGCAAAAUCAGGCUGCACGCGGCCGCUCAAUGAAUCCGGCUACCUAGUUACGAAGAAAAAUAUAUAUAUAGAGAGAGAGAGAGACAAAAUAUAUGUGAAAUAAUUAUGAACCAGGCAAGAGUGUAUGUCGAACAAAGAAGGACAUAAAAUUGUGGAAGCAGAAAGGGAUACCAGGUACAGAGCGUAGCACCGGAGAAAGAUGGACUUCUUUGAUGUCUGCGCCCGGAGCACGUGAGCAGCCCUGCGAUACUCCUUGCAGAGGAGGUAGUAGUCCGCGCCGUCGUCGAUCUCGUCCUCGAUAGGGAAGGGGUGCUCACAUCGGACACCCCGCCCGUGGGCGUGGCAGAGAACACCUCGCUACCCGCGCCAGGGCGGGACCUGCUGCGGCGGAAGCUGGAGCCGUCCCGGUGGAGGUGCUCUUGCUGAUGGUGAGGACGGGCGCUGCUUGCCUUGCCAGCACUGGCAGAGGAUCUGGGCUCGUCCUGAUCGAUGCCCACAGGUACUUGUCCCGCCCUAAUCAACAGCGCAGGCGGACAAAGAGUCAAAAGCACCGGUCUCCAAGCUGCCGGAUCGCCGACCGGAGCUCGUUCCUGUAGCUUUCUAGCGGCAACAAGAGCUGACUUAGAGGAAGAAGUUACCAUUUCGAGCCCAUCUCCCUCCACAGCCCUGCUGCGUCUCUCUCUCUCUCUCUCCCCUUCGUUUCUCUCUCUACAGACCGAGGGCCAGCAGGACAACCGAGAAACGAAAUCGACGAUGAUAUCUCGCGGGGUUUUUUUCAAGUUUCAGCCUUCAGUGUAGCGGGGGAGAUUGUGGCCCCGUUUCGAUUGCAGGAGAGGGUGAAAUUUCGAGUGAUUCCCGAACACCUAAAUCGGCCAACCAUCGGACGCAACAAGCCCGGGUUAUCAUCAUCACCGUCCUUCUGAAAUAAUCAGAAUUACAAGGGUUAACACCGCAGAUCUUCUUCAGGCGGCGCCGCUCAGCUUGUUUCUCUGCCUGUAGACGAAGGAACGAGCGAAGUACAGGAAUAAGAGGACAUCGACGGAACUCAGCGCCGCCAGCAGCCAGUAGAAGUAGUCCAGGUGGGCACGGUUGAGGUUGUCGGAGAACCAGUCCUCCCCCCACCAGGCGCUGACUCUCUGGAUUACCAAGAUGAAGAAGCCGCUGGUGAUGCUCCCGACACCGAAGAUGCUCAUGCAGAGGGCGAGGCCCAAGCUCCUCGUGGCGGCGGGCACCUGGUCGUAGAAGAACUCAUGCAAACCCACCAGGGUGAAGACGCUAGAGACCCCGAGGAAGACGUACUGAGGAACGAGCCACCACAGGCUCAUGGGGAUGGCGGCGCCCGGUAAGUCUACCAGCCCGAAGUCUCUGGCGGUUUGGAGCCGCUUCGUCUCCACUGUGGCGGCGGCGGACAUGGAGAAGACUGAGAGCACCAUGCCAACGCCGAUCCUCUGGAGCAUCGUCAAGCCCGGGGGCCGCCCGGUGAAGGCUCUGGCAAUGGGGACGAAAACGCGGUCGUAGAUGGGCACGAAGGCGAGGACGGAGAGGUUGAUGAAACUAUGGAGCGCCGCAGGGGGGAUGAGGAAGGAGUCGGUGAUUCUCCUGUCCAUAGUGCUGCCCUGCUUGGUGAAUAAGGUCGAGGACUGCGCAGCCACCACGGCGUACAGCAAGCAGGUUGCCCAUAUUGGGAGCAAUCUGAGGACCUCUCGAGGGCCGUCUGUGGCACCAUCCUCCUCCCCGGCAGACCUUCAGAGUGGGAGCCCAUGAGGAAAGACGCCAGCCACCAAGUACAACGCGGAGAAGAAGAACGCCGUCUGGAAUUGGGAGGGGAGGCAGCUCUCCCGGCUGCCGCCGCCGCACUCCGGCGGGCGGAGCGACGGCGCCACCGCUGAAGCCACCAGCAUCGCCAGACCCUGCAGGGAUGUAGAUCAUACGGCAGGAGCGUACGCCCGAUCUACGGUGGUUAAAUUCUUCCUCGCGUGAAACCAGUAACCCUCCUUCCGAGGGUACAAUUAGACGAAUUUCUGAAGAAUAUGGCGAGGAUUUCCCAAGUAUUAUAUCACAAGAUUCCGGCUGGAGGAGCAGGAACGGACCAGGACGUAAAUAAUUGAGGAUACGACGGCGGUGCGGUAGCGCCCGAGGGAGGAGUCGCCGAUGAGUCCGCCGAGAAUGGGGAGCAUCUGAGACACCCCGCUGAUGAGGUUGACGGAGAUGCCGUAGUAGGCGAACCGCUCCGACAGCUCGCCCCCUUCAGCGCAACGCCGGCGGCGGAGUUUUGGUCACUGAUGGUCGCCGAGUCUCACUCUGAAGCGGAGGAACAAGACGGUGGCGGGCGGCGCUUACCGAUGAUGAAGACGGCGGAGGGCCAGCCGCCGGCGGCGGACCGGGAGAAGAUCGGCUGCCCACGGUGGUCGACGAUGCGCUCAAUCGGUAGCGGAGCGUCCUCCUCCCGAGUUCCCAUGGUAAGUCCUGCGGGUUGCCUGUCCAGUACGGCAGAUAGUUCUCCUUGGGCCUUCUAACUCCGUCCCCCAAUUGUUUCCUUGGGAUUGGAGGAGGAACAAGGAUGGGGGUCAAUUGCUGAUUUUUUUAAUCAUCUGGAGGGAAAUCUGCUCCUGGUUAGCUGUGCGUGGAGUUUUCUUGGCACCUUGUGGCACUUUACUAGCCAGGACGGUGAUUUUCUUUACUUUUUUUCUCGUGAAAUGCACAACACUAGGAAACUAAACUAGGAAGCCAGGAAAUAAGAUUAAAACAUCUUAUAUCUAACCUUAAUAUUUAUUUUUAUUUUUUCAAUUAUGAUAUAAUUAUAUCGUCAUUAAAACUUGCGAUAAUAAAUUGCAGUUUAAAAAUAACGUUUUAUUUUCUUAGUUAUUCUGUGGACCGAAUAAACAUGUAUUUCUUGACACGAAGAACCACUUUUAGUGAGCUAAUUGGGGGAGACUUUUCCAUGAUAAACUAUAAAUGUAAAAUAACGACAGUGAAGCACUAAAAACUGAAAGUAUGAUUCCCAUAAAAUGAACAAAAAUAUAGUCAAGAAAUAGUCAUCUUCCUCACAGAGGGAGUGUAACCGUCAUCUUCCUCAGACGGUGGCCUUGACCUUGCUCUUGUAAUGGAAGAGCCGAGCGAAGUGCAGGAAGAAGAUCAACGCCACGGAGAUGAGACCGGCGAUGAGCCAGAAGAAAUAGUCAAGGUGGCGGCGGUUGAGAUUGUCGGAGAACCAGCUGUCCCCGCUGUUUCUGCUGGCGCUGUCGAUCGCCGAAACGAGGAAGCUGCUGAUGAAGCUCCCGAUCCCGAAGAUGCUCAAGUAGAGGGCCAGGCCGAGGCUCCUCAGCCCGUCAGGCACCUGGUCGUAGAAGAACUCUUGUAGGCCGACCAUGGCGAAAACAUCUGAGGCGCGAGGUCAUGAUCGAUGGCCACAGCUAAUUCUCCCGCCCUAAUCGAGCAGCGUAGGCGGACAAAGAGUUACAAGCAGAGGCCAAUCCAGCGAGAACAAGAGCCACCUAAUAUGGAGACGCCACCAUUUCGAAGCGGAGUACAGGCACCGGUCUCCGAGCUGCCGGAUCGUCUUCCGUAGCUCGUUCCUGUUUCUCUCCUUCGAGCCCAUCUCUAUCCACAGCUCGGCUGCAUCUCUCUCUCUCUCUCUCUCUCUUUUCGGGCACGUGUCGGCUCCCCAAGUUGUCAUGACCGGAGGAGCGAUACGGGGCCUCUUUUAUUUUAGCUUUAGUUUAUUACUUUGUCUUGUGAGGGUUUUUAAUUGUGAGUCGAGUGGUGAUAAAUUAUCAUAUUAUUUAUUCCAAUUGCCAUCGCACGAUGCGAUUCCGGUCUCUAUCUGCUCAUCUCCUCCCUCAUAUCAUUGGCCGUCUCUCUAUUGCUUGGAAGAUAGAGGUCCAUCCCAAGGGGUCUAUUCUGCAAGAGGACGCCGGUGGAGAGGUUGAGGUGGUCCACCACUUGGUGGGUCAUAUUUAUCUCUUAAUUAAUUGAUCUGAUAAUCCUCAUUAUCCUUAUAUUACACAUUAUCUAAACACGCUUUCGCACCUGAAAUUCUCUUCACUCUCCCUAGGUUAUGUCUACAGACCAAGAGCCAGCAAUACAGCCGGGAAACAAAAUCGGCGGCGAUACCUCGCAGAGGGCUUUUCAAGCUUCAGCCUUCAGUGAAGCGGAGGGGAGUUGUGGCCCAGUUUGGAUUGCAGGAGAUGAUGAAAUUUCGAGUGAUUCCCGGACACCUAAAUCGGCCCACCAUCGGACGCAACAAGCCCGGGAUAUCAUCAUCACCGUCCUUCUAACAAAAUCAGAAUUACAAGGGUUAACAUGGCAUAUUUUCUUCAGGCGGCGCCGCUCCGCUUCUUUCCUGGUUGUAGACGAAGGUGCGAGCGCAGUACAGGAACAAGACGAUCUCGACGGAGCACAGCGCCACCAGCAGCCAGUAGAAGUAGUCCAGGUGGGCACGGUUGAGGUUGUCGGAGAACCAGUUCUCCCCCCACCAGGCGCUGACUCUCUGGAUUACCAAGAUGAAGAAGCCGCUGGUGAAGCUCCCGACGCCGAAGAUGCUCAUGUAGAGGGCGAGGCCCAAGCUCCUCUUGGCGGCGGGCACCUGGUCGUAGAAGAACUCUUGAAGACCCACCACGGUGAAGACGCUGGAGACCCCGAGGAGGACGUACUGAGGAACGAGCCACCACAGGCUCAUGGGGAUGGGGGCGCCUGGUGAGUCUACCAGCCCGAAGUCUCUGGCGGUUUGGAGCCGCUUCGUCUCCACCGUGGCGGCGGCGACCAUGGCGAUGACUGAGAGCACCAUGCCGACGCCAAUCCUCUGGAGCAUCGUCAAGCCCGAGGGCCGCCCGGUGAAGGCUCUGAUUAUGGGGACGAAAACGCGGUCGUAGAUGGGCACGAAGGCGAGGACGGAGAGGUUGAUGAAACUCUGGAGCGCCGCAGGGGGGAUGAGGAAGGAGGCGGUGAUUCUCCUGUCCAUAGUGCUGCCCUGUUUGGUGAAUAAGGUCGAGGACUGCGCAGCCACCACGGCGUACGGCAAGCAGGUUGCCCAGAUUGGAAGCAAUC